CACAGAGAGAAAGCCUGAGGAGCAGUGAGCGCUCACACAGAAUGAGAAAGAAGCAAAUACACUGAGAUGGGAUUGAUGGAGAUGGAGAGACAGCAUAGUCACCCAGCACUGCUGUACACCUGGACAAAAGAGCUGCACUGACAGAGGUCUGCAAAGUGCUUCUAACACAGUGGGUGGACAAGGAAGCUGUCCACAUACGUGAACGUUAUCAGCACGGCUGUCAGGACAGAGUCUAGCCAACUUUGAGGGGGCAAAGUCAGCCAGUUGGAGGGACAGAGAUGUUGUGGCAGGACAAGCAUGCGGCCCUGACUUUUAUGUCAUUACUGCUGCUACUGUGGCAGGAAGCAGCACCCAUUGAAGUCCCAGAAGACCCAAAGAUCCAGCAAGACUUGAAGCAGCCCCCAACUAUCAUGAAACAGUCAGUAAAGAACUACAUUGUGGACCCCAGAGAUAACAUCAUCAUUGAGUGUGAGGCCAAGGGCAACCCAGUGCCAACGUAAGCUCACUCACACACACGCACGCACACACACACACACACACACACACACACACACACACACACACACAGUCCCAACAUGAAUCAUGGUAAAAACAAAACAUUCAUAAAGAACAACGAAUGACACAGUGGAAUUGAAGUUUUUGUAUAUAACUUCCAUGUAAUCAGUUUCUACAUCAUUAUGGAAGGAUUCUGGCACAUCUUCCUGUUGCUGUGUUGCAACAUUGUGGAGUGUUGUCACAGCUUUGUAGGCAUUCAUCUCCCUGCUGUCUCGACGUCCAGCCACACUGUUCCACUUUGCUUGAUGGAUCCUGACUGGGCCAUUGCAACACCUUCGUUCCAUUUCUUUUCAGCUGCUCUGGGAUCAUUUCAUUUUGUUUGAGUCCAGUUUUGGCCAAAUUUAGGCUGUCAGACAGAUGGCCUCAAAACCAUAAAAACCAUAGACUUUUUAAAGG
Long non-coding RNA from Oreochromis niloticus (Nile tilapia), 951 nucleotides. RefSeq lists it as uncharacterized. The record is from RefSeq and is a predicted model, not a curated record. The transcript has 6 exons. Lineage: Eukaryota; Metazoa; Chordata; Actinopteri; Cichliformes; Cichlidae.